This 582-nucleotide ribosomal RNA is filed under the name uncultured Eustigmatophyceae. RNAcentral's name for it is "SSU rRNA". It matches the Rfam family "Eukaryotic small subunit ribosomal RNA", at positions 575 to 1159 of the family's 1831-position model. Lineage: Eukaryota; Eustigmatophyceae. The record is from RNAcentral.
CGCGGUAAUUCCAGCUCCAAUAGCGUAUACUAAAGUGUUGCAGUUAAAAAGCUCGUAGUUGGAUUUCUGGCCGGGACGGCUGGUCGGUCUCGAAAGGGGCUGUACUGUUGUUGGUUCCCGUCAUCCUUGGGGAGAGCGGCUCUUACAUUAAGUUGUCGGCGUCGGGAUCCCUAUCUUUUACUGUGAAAAAAUUAGAGUGUUCAAAGCAGGCUUAGGCCCUGAAUACAUUAGCAUGGAAUAAUAAGAUACGACCUUGGUGGUCUAUUUUGUUGGUUUGCACGCCAAGGUAAUGAUUAAUAGGGAUAGUUGGGGGUAUUCGUAUUCAAUUGUCAGAGGUGAAAUUCUUGGAUUUAUGGAAGACGAACUACUGCGAAAGCAUUUACCAAGGAUGUUUUCAUUAAUCAAGAACGAAAGUUAGGGGAUCGAAGAUGAUUAGAUACCAUCGUAGUCUUAACCAUAAACUAUGCCGACUAGGGAUCGGUGGGUGCAUUUUUAGGCCUCAUCGGCACCUUAUGAGAAAUCAAAGUCUUUGGGUUCCGGGGGGAGUAUGGUCGCAAGGCUGAAACUUAAAGAAAUUGACGG